GUGCUCGCUUUGGCAGCACAUAUACUAAAAUUGGACUGAUACAGAGAAGAUUAGCAAGGCCCCUGUGCAAGGAUGACAUGAAAAUUUGUGAAGCAUUCUAUAUUUAA
Sarcophilus harrisii (Tasmanian devil) is the source of this 107-nucleotide small nuclear RNA. NCBI's taxonomy places the organism in Eukaryota, Metazoa, Chordata, Mammalia, Dasyuromorphia, Dasyuridae. The record is from Ensembl.